CAGGGCUGAGGAUUUAUCAGACACACUAGACCGAAGGAAGAGUGGAACUGCCUUGCUUGGAGCUCAUAAAAUGCUUUACAGCCUCACCCUGCAUAUCUUUGGACUCACAAGCAAUACGAGCUACCAACCCUCCAGGCCUGGGGAGUACACUGCAUCCCUUGAUCAUCAGCUCCAAAACUGCAGAUGCAAGGUGACUGACAACCACUACCACAAUUCGUCCCUGAGCUUCUUCUAAUGACUUCACUUCUAUUUCUUUCUGGCUUUCCAAGAUUAUGAGAGAUGCUUUGGUUAGUAAGGUGAAGCUUGCCACUUUUGGAUGAGACCUUGGGUAUGAUUCUCCACGUUUCCUUCUUUUGUCUAUGGAGCACAAGGCCAGAAAGGGAGUCUCCAUGAGCCUGAGAUCCCAAGUGACUGUGACAUUCAGAAUCUGCCCUUGCCACCCCAUCCCUCCCAUGUUAUUCACAAAGCAUUAGAAGACCAUUAAUAGAAAACUAUGUCCUUCCGGUCAAAACAUUAAAAAAAUUAAAAAAAAA
RNAcentral lists this long non-coding RNA (533 nucleotides) under Rattus norvegicus (Norway rat). RNAcentral's name for it is "long non-coding RNA NONRATT034103". Lineage: Eukaryota; Metazoa; Chordata; Mammalia; Rodentia; Muridae. The record is from RNAcentral.